AGAGAUGGAUUGGUGCCUUCGGGAACUUAGAUACAGGUGCUGCAUGGCUGUCGUCAGCUCGUGUCGUGAGAUGUUGGGUUAAGUCCGCAACGAGCGCAACCCUUUUCCUUAUUGCCAGCGGGUAAUGCCGGGAACUUUAAGGAUACUGCCAGUGACAAACUGGAGGAAGGCGGGGACGACGUCAAGUCAUCAUGGCCCUUACGGCCAGGGCUACACACGUGCUACAAUGGUCGGUACAAAGGGUUGCUACCUCGCGAGAGGAUGCUAAUCUCAAAAAGCCGAUCGUAGUCCGGAUCGCAGUCUGCAACUCGACUGCGUGAAGUCGGAAUCGCUAGUAAUCGCGGAUCAGAAUGCCGCGGUGAAUACGUUCCCGGGCCUUGUACACACCGCCCGUCACACCAUGGGAGUUUGUUGCACCAGAAGUAGGUAGUCUAACCGCAAGGAGGACGCUUACCACGGUGUGGCCGAUGACUGGGGUGAAGUCGUAACAAGGUAGGCGUAGAUGA
RNAcentral lists this ribosomal RNA (506 nucleotides) under uncultured bacterium. Its description in RNAcentral is "bacterial SSU rRNA". It matches the Rfam family "Bacterial small subunit ribosomal RNA", at positions 1002 to 1509 of the family's 1533-position model. The record is from RNAcentral.